This 2902-nucleotide ribosomal RNA is filed under the name Klebsiella pneumoniae. RNAcentral describes it as "23S ribosomal RNA". It matches the Rfam family "Bacterial large subunit ribosomal RNA". The record is from RNAcentral. Lineage: Bacteria; Pseudomonadati; Pseudomonadota; Gammaproteobacteria; Enterobacterales; Enterobacteriaceae.
GGUUAAGCGACUAAGCGUACACGGUGGAUGCCCUGGCAGUCAGAGGCGAUGAAGGACGUGCUAAUCUGCGAAAAGCGUCGGUAAGGUGAUAUGAACCGUUAUAACCGGCGAUGUCCGAAUGGGGAAACCCAGUGCAAUUCGUUGCACUAUCGUUAACUGAAUACAUAGGUUAACGAGGCGAACCGGGGGAACUGAAACAUCUAAGUACCCCGAGGAAAAGAAAUCAACCGAGAUUCCCCCAGUAGCGGCGAGCGAACGGGGAGCAGCCCAGAGUCUGAAUCAGCUUGUGUGUUAGUGGAACGGUCUGGAAAGUCCGACGGUACAGGGUGAUAGUCCCGUACACCAAAAUGCACAGGCUGUGAACUCGAAGAGUAGGGCGGGACACGUGGUAUCCUGUCUGAAUAUGGGGGGACCAUCCUCCAAGGCUAAAUACUCCUGACUGACCGAUAGUGAACCAGUACCGUGAGGGAAAGGCGAAAAGAACCCCGGCGAGGGGAGUGAAAAAGAACCUGAAACCGUGUACGUACAAGCAGUGGGAGCACCUUCGGGUGUGACUGCGUACCUUUUGUAUAAUGGGUCAGCGACUUAUAUUCUGUAGCAAGGUUAACCGUAUAGGGGAGCCGCAGGGAAACCGAGUCUUAACUGGGCGUUAAGUUGCAGGGUAUAGACCCGAAACCCGGUGAUCUAGCCAUGGGCAGGUUGAAGGUUGGGUAACACUAACUGGAGGACCGAACCGACUAAUGUUGAAAAAUUAGCGGAUGACUUGUGGCUGGGGGUGAAAGGCCAAUCAAACCGGGAGAUAGCUGGUUCUCCCCGAAAGCUAUUUAGGUAGCGCCUCGUGAACUCAUCUUCGGGGGUAGAGCACUGUUUCGGCUAGGGGGUCAUCCCGACUUACCAACCCGAUGCAAACUACGAAUACCGAAGAAUGUUAUCACGGGAGACACACGGCGGGUGCUAACGUCCGUCGUGAAGAGGGAAACAACCCAGACCGCCAGCUAAGGUCCCAAAGUCAUGGUUAAGUGGGAAACGAUGUGGGAAGGCACAGACAGCCAGGAUGUUGGCUUAGAAGCAGCCAUCAUUUAAAGAAAGCGUAAUAGCUCACUGGUCGAGUCGGCCUGCGCGGAAGAUGUAACGGGGCUAAACCAUGCACCGAAGCUGCGGCAGCGACACUAUGUGUUGUUGGGUAGGGGAGCGUUCUGUAAGCCUGCGAAGGUGUGCUGUGAGGCAUGCUGGAGGUAUCAGAAGUGCGAAUGCUGACAUAAGUAACGAUAAAGCGGGUGAAAAGCCCGCUCGCCGGAAGACCAAGGGUUCCUGUCCAACGUUAAUCGGGGCAGGGUGAGUCGACCCCUAAGGCGAGGCCGAAAGGCGUAGUCGAUGGGAAACAGGUUAAUAUUCCUGUACUUGGUGUUACUGCGAAGGGGGGACGGAGAAGGCUAUGUUAGCCGGGCGACGGUUGUCCCGGUUUAAGCAUGUAGGCUGGUUAUCCAGGCAAAUCCGGAUAAUCAAGGCUGAGGUGUGAUGACGAGGCACUACGGUGCUGAAGUAACAAAUGCCCUGCUUCCAGGAAAAGCCUCUAAGCAUCAGGUAACAUCAAAUCGUACCCCAAACCGACACAGGUGGUCAGGUAGAGAAUACCAAGGCGCUUGAGAGAACUCGGGUGAAGGAACUAGGCAAAAUGGUGCCGUAACUUCGGGAGAAGGCACGCUGGUGUGUAGGUGAAGUCCCUGCGGAUGGAGCUGAGACCAGUCGAAGAUACCAGCUGGCUGCAACUGUUUAUUAAAAACACAGCACUGUGCAAACACGAAAGUGGACGUAUACGGUGUGACGCCUGCCCGGUGCCGGAAGGUUAAUUGAUGGGGUUAUCCGUAAGGAGAAGCUCUUGAUCGAAGCCCCGGUAAACGGCGGCCGUAACUAUAACGGUCCUAAGGUAGCGAAAUUCCUUGUCGGGUAAGUUCCGACCUGCACGAAUGGCGUAAUGAUGGCCAGGCUGUCUCCACCCGAGACUCAGUGAAAUUGAACUCGCUGUGAAGAUGCAGUGUACCCGCGGCAAGACGGAAAGACCCCGUGAACCUUUACUAUAGCUUGACACUGAACAUUGAGCCUUGAUGUGUAGGAUAGGUGGGAGGCUUUGAAGCGUGGACGCCAGUCUGCGUGGAGCCAACCUUGAAAUACCACCCUUUAAUGUUUGAUGUUCUAACGUUGGCCCCUUACCGGGGUUGCGGACAGUGUCUGGUGGGUAGUUUGACUGGGGCGGUCUCCUCCCAAAGCGUAACGGAGGAGCACGAAGGUUAGCUAAUCCUGGUCGGACAUCAGGAGGUUAGUGCAAUGGCAUAAGCUAGCUUGACUGCGAGCGUGACGGCGCGAGCAGGUGCGAAAGCAGGUCAUAGUGAUCCGGUGGUUCUGAAUGGAAGGGCCAUCGCUCAACGGAUAAAAGGUACUCCGGGGAUAACAGGCUGAUACCGCCCAAGAGUUCAUAUCGACGGCGGUGUUUGGCACCUCGAUGUCGGCUCAUCACAUCCCGGGGCUGAAGUAGGUCCCAAGGGUAUGGCUGUUCGCCAUUUAAAGUGGUACGCGAGCUGGGUUUAGAACGUCGUGAGACAGUUCGGUCCCUAUCUGCCGUGGGCGCUGGAGAAUUGAGGGGGGCUGCUCCUAGUACGAGAGGACCGGAGUGGACGCAUCACUGGUGUUCGGGUUGUCAUGCCAAUGGCACUGCCCGGUAGCUAAAUGCGGAAGAGAUAAGUGCUGAAAGCAUCUAAGCACGAAACUUGCCCCGAGAUGAGUUCUCCCUGAGACUUUAAGUCUCCUGAAGGAACGUUGAAGACGACGACGUUGAUAGGCCGGGUGUGUAAGCGCAGCGAUGCGUUGAGCUAACCGGUACUAAUGAACCGUGAGGCUUAACCUU